Molecule: ribosomal RNA, 253 nt
Filed under: uncultured bacterium
Lineage: Bacteria
Description: partial 16S ribosomal RNA
Rfam family: Bacterial small subunit ribosomal RNA
Source: RNAcentral
UACGUAGGCAGCGAGCGUUGUUCGGAGUUACUGGGCGUAAAGAGUGCGUAGGCGGUGCUCUAAGUUUGGUGUGAAAUCUCCCGGCUCAACUGGGAGGGUGCGCCGAAAACUGGAGUGCUCGAGUAUGGGAGAGGUAAGCGGAAUUCCUGGUGUAGCGGUGAAAUGCGUAGAUAUUGGGAGGAACACCAGUGGCGAAGGCGGCUCACUGGACCGGUUCUGACGCUGAGGCGCGAAAGCGUGGGGAGCAAACGGG